This is a long non-coding RNA of Eurytemora carolleeae, 1066 nucleotides long. RefSeq lists it as uncharacterized. NCBI's taxonomy places the organism in Eukaryota, Metazoa, Arthropoda, Copepoda, Calanoida, Temoridae. The transcript is spliced from 3 exons. The record is from RefSeq and is a predicted model, not a curated record.
AGUUAAACGUCCAUAUAUCUUGGUAGUACUCCAGGUUGUGCAAUACUAGGUUUAUAAAACAUCAUAUUUAAAUGUAAAUGUAACACUGGCCAAAACCUUUUGAAUCUAAGCUCAUUAAAACUUAUGGAUGUUAUAUAAAGUGAAUCCAGAUCAUACGUGUAUUUCAACGCCUGUUUUGAACUAUGAACUAAUAAACUAACAGGUGAAAACACAUUUCUAGAAAAUUUAGAACUUUUAAAGUUUAUGCGAAACUAACUACUCCCUUAUCUCUUAGACCAAGUCCUCCUUUGAUGUGUCCUCGCCUUGCUCCUGGACGAGGAUGAUAGCUUCAACACGAAUGAGAGUCUGUUUAUAUCUUCAACAUGAAUGAGAACCUGCCCUCGGAGUACCUCCCUGCUGAGCAACAAUAUCUCUACCUCCUCUCGGAGAAGUCCCGUCGGAAGUAACUGUGCUUCUCUAAACCGGGACUGCUGCUCUCGAGCAGACAAAGAUCCCAUCUACAUCUCUACUUCCUCUCGGAGAAGUAUCCUCGCCUCUUCUCGGAGAAGUAUCCUCGCCUUCUCUCGGAGAAACUCCUCACCUCCUCUCGGAGAAGUCCCGUCAGAAGCAUUUGUGUUUCUCUAAACCGGGACUGCUGCUUUCGAGCAGAUAAAGGUGAAAAACUAUUAUGGAGCUAUCCUCAAGAGUUAGAUCAAUGUUAACCUAAUCUUAUUUAGAUCCCAUCACUAUCCGUACCUCCUCUCGGAGAAGCAUCCGUUCCUCCUCUCGGAGAAGUCCCGUCGGAAGCAUCUGUGUUUCUCUAAACUGGGACUGCUGCUUUCGAGCAGAUAAAGGUAUACAAUCAAGUUUCGUGUGAUCUCUGUGAACAAUUAAAGACAAAAGUGUGACUAUCUCCUCUAACACAUGAUAAGCCUUUAUAUAAACUCUUCUUAUUAUUUCUAGUUAUGUGUAAGAGAUAGCUGGUAACAAUCAUCCAACUCUAGAGCUAUUAAAUUCUCCGGCCUAAUCAACUUUUUCACGGGUCCUAGCUCUGUAUCGCUGUACCAGAAAUAAAGAAUAUAAGAGA